RNAcentral lists this ribosomal RNA (670 nucleotides) under Dehalococcoidia bacterium. RNAcentral's name for it is "bacterial SSU rRNA". It matches the Rfam family "Bacterial small subunit ribosomal RNA", at positions 863 to 1533 of the family's 1533-position model. The record is from RNAcentral. Lineage: Bacteria; Bacillati; Chloroflexota; Dehalococcoidia.
AGUGUCCCGCCUGGGGAGUACGGCCGCAAGGCUGAAACUCAAAGGAAUUGACGGGGGCCCGCACAAGCAGCGGAGCGUGUGGUUUAAUUCGAUGCUACGCGAAGAACCUUACCAGGGCUUGACAUGGCAGAAGUAGGAAUCCGAAAGGAAGACGACCUGUAUCCAGUCAGGAGCUGUCACAGGUGCUGCAUGGCUGUCGUCAGCUCGUGCCGUGAGGUGUUGGGUUAAGUCCCGCAACGAGCGCAACCCUUGUCCUAUGUUAAAUUCUCAUAGGAGACUGCCUUGUACAGCAAGGAGGAAGGAAAGGAUGACGUCAAGUCAGCAUGGCCUUUAUGUCCUGGGCUACACACACGCUACAAUGGGUGAUACAGAGGGUUGCCAAGGAGCGAUCCGGAGCUAAUCCCUAAAAAUCAUCCUCAGUUCAGAUUGCAGGCUGAAAUCGCCUGCAUGAAGGCGGAGUUGCUAGUAACCGCAGGUCAGCUACACUGCGGUGAAUACGUUCUCGGGCCUUGUACACACCGCCCGUCACGCCAUGGGAGCUGGCAACACCUGAAGUCGAUGGGCUAACUCCGACUUGUCGGAGAGGCAGUCGCCUAAGGUGGGGUUGGUGACUGUGACGAAGUCGUAACAAGGCAGCCGUACGGGAACGUGUGGCUGAAUCACCUCCUUU